Molecule: long non-coding RNA, 213 nt
Filed under: Mytilus galloprovincialis (Mediterranean mussel)
Lineage: Eukaryota; Metazoa; Mollusca; Bivalvia; Mytilida; Mytilidae
Source: RNAcentral
CUAUUUAUAGCUUGGGGCUCUCACAUAUUGCUUCUAAGACUUUCUGGGUAUAAUAACUGUGUAUAACUAUAGUAGUCAGGGUAUGCUUUUAGAAUAUUGAUGUAGUUUUACCUGAAAUAUGUUUUUCAGGCCGUCUAUAUAUUUUGAGAUUUUCCCUCGUUGUAAAAGUUGCAGAAGACGUUCAUUCACACGGACUUUUAGUAAUAAUUGGGC